This 66-nucleotide transfer RNA is filed under the name Cricetus cricetus (black-bellied hamster). RNAcentral's name for it is "tRNA-Pro". It matches the Rfam family "tRNA". From Rfam's summary of the family: Transfer RNA (tRNA) molecules are approximately 80 nucleotides in length. Lineage: Eukaryota; Metazoa; Chordata; Mammalia; Rodentia; Cricetidae. The record is from RNAcentral.
CAAGAAGUAGUUUAACAAGAAUUUCAGCUUUGGGUGCUGACGGUGAGGGUUAACCCUCUUUCUUGA